GAAAAGAAGAAAGAAAAAGAAGAGAAGAAAAGGAAAAGAAGAAAGAAAAAGAAGAAAAGGAAAGGAAAAGAAAAACUGAACUAAAAUACAAAACUAAAACUAAAACGUGGGUGAGCCGUCGUUGAGGACACAGAGACUGUGGUCUGCAAAGAAGCUUGCGAGCCCCUCUCCUCUUGCAUCGGUGUGGGUACUACCCCAGAUGGCAUUAUGCGCGUUGAAAUCGCCGCAUAGCACGUAAGACGGGGGAAGGCAGGCGAGGAGCGCAGCCAGAUCAUCGACAUUGUAGUUGACUGCCGGCGGGAGGUAUAGAGAUAUUAAUGUGACAUCCAGGGAGCCCAGGCGGACUGAACAGCAGACGUACUCGCCGAAACCUUGCGCCUGCCGCUGGUGUUGUAUCAGUAAACUUGAGUUGAAAGUGUGCUAUCCUGACACCCCGACGGGAGGAAUUACUUGCUACGCAGAGGGUGAUUACAAGCAGGUUCAGGCAGGGUGGUCCUGUCGACCUCUCAAAUUUUCCUAUAUACAUAUUGAAGUCUAGUGCUUAGGAAGUACAUUGGCGGAGGAAAGAGCUGAAAAUAUCUGACAGUUUGUAAAAAAUAAUCUUCAAGACUGACCAUUUCGAGCACUGCGCUUCCUCGCAAUUAUUGGGCCUUGUGUCUUCGUAACCAUUAAGGUCACGUAAUUAAUUUUUUCAACACUUAUUGCCCAUGUGCUGCAGCACCGUUUGCACUAUCUAUGAGGUUCUACGUUCUGCAGGUGUCCGGAUAAACCGAAGGCUGGAACCGGAGACACGGAGACGACAAAAUUUCUCUUACACAGCAACGGUUUAAUAACAACCAACCGCUGAUAUCCCCAAGAACCUCCGAAAGGGGGCAAGGGCCCCUUGCCCCGCUCCAGCCUUCAGUAUGCACCAGCUUGUCUGCGCCGUCUCUCUUUUGUCGGUCCGGAUAAACAAUCGUAAAGUCGCCUCAUUUGCAAAAAAUCGCACUUUUUCGGCGCGUAACUGCUUCUCUACCAAUACCAGAAGGUUAACAUAUGUAACAUCGUUUUGUUCGUCUUUAAAGGGACUCUGACCAGAAGUCGUGGGAGCUCUUUCGUACUUGCAGUCGAUAAAGCACCCAACAAGGACUCUUCAUGCGAAAAUUCAUGCAUUAAAACCCCACGGGUUCUCUAAACUCGAAUUUUAAACAUUCGACUUCAUCCGAGUGCAGCACGCCUAGCGUCAAACCGAGAAAACAUACGUUUAUAUAGAAUAUCCACCCCAGCCUACCAUCCAAAUGACGUCGACAUGAGGGCCACUGGCAACACCCCGAAUUGGCUCAAACACGUCAUGCGUGUCACGCAAUACCCUGUCAAUUCCCUUCAUGAAAUGGCAUUUAUAUGUUAAUAUGUUUUUGUUACGGAGUCUCAAAAAGAAAAAUAUACCCUGCAUUUAACACCUGCAGUAGGUUCUACGAUUGCCUUUUCAAUCUGUGCAUGGCGUUCCAUAUGGUUACGUAUCCGGUCAGCUGUAAUGGUUGCCACAUGACGAGCUUGCGAACUUAUGUGAUUCCCGGCUCAUCCUGCCUAUUUCGGGUCAUUGGGUUGGUGUUGGAGUUGUUCGCCAUAUUCUGAACGUUUCACCUAUCAUUGCGGCGUACUGUUCUUGAUCUGCUGCGAAGCAACGAACCGCAACGGCAGUCACUCGUCUCAGCGAAAUUUUGUCUGGUGCAUCUCAAAGGAGCAUCAGGACCUGAUGAUGUACAGCAAAUGCUGAAGUUUGAUUCUUUGAACCUUCAUCUAAAGAAACCAAGUGUGCUCUCGUGUGCUUCUGACGGAAAAGUAGUUUCAACAAGGCUAUGCCGCUCUGAAGUAUUGAGAUGACGAAGGGUCGUGGUGGCUGCACCUCUGCUUUCGAAAGAUGAAACAGUCAUUCCACACUGUGCUUACUGGCUUCGUAUCGAGUCUGACAAAUCCGACAGACCUGGACUGCCUUUUUCAAGAAAGUUUGAAAUGAAUGACACCGAGGCACCAAGCAGUGGAGCGCAGCUCCUCCCACCGUCAACUUCGUGGAAGGCGCAAUCAGUUUUCUACUUCUGAUGUCAACACUGCUGCCCGACGAGCAUCGCAUUCCGUAGCCACGUGGACUGUCAUCGAAAGCGGCCGCCCUGUGUCGUGGGCGUCGAGAUCCCGUUGGAGUUCCCAACCUAGACCGUUGAGGGGAAUGGACCCGAACCAGAUCCCGCAUCUCUUCCGAGUAGUGAUGGGCAAGAUGAUGCAGGCGGGCCUAACCAUCAACCCCCGCAAGAUGCAGCUGGCAUCGCCUAGGAUCAGCCUUCUCGGCUUCGUGGUGGACGGUGGUGGCGGAGGACCGCCCUGUUGGAUGGGUGGCUCGCUCCAGAUGGUCGUCGCAGCCACGCCCCCUCCGGGGUGAAGAUCCUGCUUCGAAGCCUAUGUCUUUUUGGGGACUGAGGUUGUCCGACCGUAACCCUCACGAUCCACCGAUUCCCCUGCCCGAGGAGGAACAAAGAUUGCUGUGCCCUCAGUGCAACGUUCCAGAGAUAAACAGGGCGACUCAUCGUCGAGGUCUGCUACACAGGACUAGGGUCGACGUCGCCCGUACUGCUGGUCUAGACAACCAUCUCCAACGACUAGAACAAACCUUCAUUGAUCGUGAAUACCCGGACAAACUUGUGAAAGACGCUAUAGCCAGUGCAAGAUCCACAGAUCGCCAACAAUUGCUCCAAAGAUCUCCUCGAGCCAAUGGAAAUUCUGCAGUAAAUCUCACUGUCACAUUCAAUGUCAGCGUUCCUAACAUUACCCGGAUACUCAACUGCCACUACACAAUUCUUUCACAAUCUGAUCGGAUGAAGGAAAUAUUCUCACAGCCACCGCGCGUAAGUUAUCGCCGGGCGCGGAACAUCCAAGACAGACUAGUAAAUGCCAAAAUUAACAAACUUCCAGAAAAUAACAUUGGUUGCCACCCUUGUAAUGCAAGUAGAUGCCAAAUUUGUAAAUCAAUGCAAGCCGCUAACUCUGCAGAAAGUACCAAUUCUAAUUAUCGGGUCAACAUUAAUGGCGACUUUAACUGUAAUUCUUCCAAUGUUGUCUAUCUUCUUUAAUGCAAUGAAUGCAACGCCCAAUAUAUCGGACAGACAGCUACGUCAUUUAGAACGCGAUUCAAUAACCACAAAUCUGACGUCGCGAAGAAACCUAAUCUGCCAGUGUCUACAGCGCCGGAGAUGUGUCAGCAGCGUUGGCGACCCUACGACGCCUACGCCCCGAAUUGUUACGGGAGGCUCCUCGGCGGGAAGCCCCUCCGGAAGACGUCAUAAUUGAGAUAUUGGAAGAAUUUUGAACCGCGGACUACUGUGGACAUUUUUUUGGGUUGGGGGGUGGGGGAGAGUUGUGUAAUCGCGGGAAGCUCCCCGCAAGGGGGCCUUGUGUUUCGACACGUGUGAGGGGCGGGGCCAAAAACGCUUAAAAGGGGGAAAACGCUGGUCGUGCGCGUGUGUUCGGCGGGAGUUCCUGUUGGAUAGGA
This is an RNA transcript of Ornithodoros turicata, 3520 nucleotides long. RefSeq lists it as uncharacterized. The transcript is spliced from 4 exons. Lineage: Eukaryota; Metazoa; Arthropoda; Arachnida; Ixodida; Argasidae. The record is from RefSeq and is a predicted model, not a curated record.